GCCCUCGGAGUCGUCUGGUGACGACGCCUGAUUGUCGAUCAGUUAGAGGCGAGUUCGAUCCUCGUCGAGGGCG
Molecule: transfer RNA, 73 nt
Filed under: Deltaproteobacteria bacterium
Lineage: Bacteria; Pseudomonadati; Myxococcota; Myxococcia
Description: tRNA-Asp
Rfam family: tRNA
About the family: Transfer RNA (tRNA) molecules are approximately 80 nucleotides in length. Their secondary structure includes four short double-helical elements and three loops (D, anti-codon, and T loops). Further hydrogen bonds mediate the characteristic L-shaped molecular structure. tRNAs have two regions of fundamental functional importance: the anti-codon, which is responsible for specific mRNA codon recognition, and the 3' end, to which the tRNAs corresponding amino acid is attached (by aminoacyl-tRNA synthetases). tRNAs cope with the degeneracy of the genetic code in two manners: having more than one tRNA (with a specific anti-codon) for a particular amino acid; and 'wobble' base-pairing, i.e. permitting non-standard base-pairing at the 3rd anti-codon position.
Source: RNAcentral